This 497-nucleotide ribosomal RNA is filed under the name uncultured bacterium. RNAcentral describes it as "partial 16S ribosomal RNA". It matches the Rfam family "Bacterial small subunit ribosomal RNA", at positions 28 to 507 of the family's 1533-position model. The record is from RNAcentral.
GAUGAACGCUGGCGGCGUGCCUAAUACAUGCAAGUCGAGCGAACAGACGAGGAGCUUGCUCCUCUGACGUUAGCGGCGGACGGGUGAGUAACACGUGGAUAACCUACCUAUAAGACUGGGAUAACUUCGGGAAACCGGAGCUAAUACCGGAUAACAUGUUGAACCGCAUGGUUCAAUAGUGAAAGACGGUUUUGCUGUCACUUAUAGAUGGAUCGGCGCCGCAUUAGCUAGUUGGUAAGGUAACGGCUUACCAAGGCAACGAUGCGUAGCCGACCUGAGAGGGUGAUCGGCCACACUGGAACUGAGACACGGUCCAGGCUCCUACGGGAGGCAGCAGUAGGGAAUCUUCCGCAACGGGCGAAAGCCUGACGGAGCAACGCCGCGUGAGUGAAGAAGGUCUUCGGAUCGUAAAACUCUGUUAUUAGGGAAGAACAAAUGUGUAAGUAACUAUGCACGUCUUGACGGUACCUAAUCAGAAAGCCACGGCUAACUACGUG